This 381-nucleotide ribosomal RNA is filed under the name Triticum aestivum (bread wheat). RNAcentral's name for it is "partial small subunit ribosomal RNA". The record is from RNAcentral. Lineage: Eukaryota; Viridiplantae; Streptophyta; Magnoliopsida; Poales; Poaceae.
AUGAGCACGGCAUACCAUACCUUUUGCCCGUCGCCUGCCACUCCCUGGCUGUCCCCAUUAUGGAAAGUCCCCUUUCCUUUAAAAAAUAAGAUUUUUGUUUGGCAACUUCUACGGGACCGCCUCCCCUCGGGGACAGAGGUACUUAAGCGGCACGGACCUGGUAAUGGUCUAUGCCCUCUCUGUGCGGUACCAGAGACCGGGACACAUAUCCUCUUCUCGUGUAUCGCGGCAAUGGUACUAUGGACGUACGCCCGCGAGGCGUUGGGGCCUAAAUGGGAGGCCCUAAAUCUCGCGGUUUUUCUCCAACAUAGAGCUUUACAGCCGUCACGACAUCGCCGCUUUUUUUGGUUUAUUUUUGCGGCGAUGCCGUGGACUCUUUGA